Long non-coding RNA from Melanotaenia boesemani (Boeseman's rainbowfish), 106 nucleotides. RefSeq lists it as uncharacterized. The record is from RefSeq and is a predicted model, not a curated record. Lineage: Eukaryota; Metazoa; Chordata; Actinopteri; Atheriniformes; Melanotaeniidae. The transcript is spliced from 3 exons.
UUUUUAAAAUUUAAAAAUUUGAAAUUUUAUUUAAUGGAUAGCCCCUUGAGAUGCAACAUCUCAUUUUCAAGGGGGUCCAUAAAAACAAAAAAUUAAACAGAAAAAA